Long non-coding RNA from Anguilla rostrata (American eel), 929 nucleotides. RefSeq lists it as uncharacterized. The transcript has 2 exons. Lineage: Eukaryota; Metazoa; Chordata; Actinopteri; Anguilliformes; Anguillidae. The record is from RefSeq and is a predicted model, not a curated record.
UGAAACUAUUUCCACAGAAUCAGGUACUGAGAACCACGUGGCAGAGAGGGCCUUGGGAGAAACGGUGGUGAAACAGAUCACAGCACAAAAACCUAUACAGAUUGAAGAGUGCGUAACAGCUGAGGAAACCAAUCAACAGACCAGAGAAUCACACCUCCAGGAGCAAACAGUUGAGGAGGCCCCUGGACACAGAGAGGACGGCAGCGCUGAGGAAAGAAAACAACAGGCCCGAGAAUCACACCUCCAGGAGCAAACAGCGGCCCAAACAAUUCUCCAGAAGCCAGGGGACACCGAAAGACGGCCCUUCAAGGUCCCAGCCCAUUUGGAAGCUCUGAAAAUCUUCAAUCGUGAGUUACAUUUGGCUGAACAACGUCUCGCGGUGUUGAAGGAGUCUGAGUCUCAUCUGUUUGAACAGUGUCUCGCAGUGCUGAAGGAGUCUGAGUAUCGUUUGUCAGAACAACGGCUUAAGGUGUUUCAGACAAUCUUUGAGAAAUAUUAGAAAUGGCACAGAGGCAACAACCAGAGCAGUUAGGCAGGGCACACAGCACAGAGAACAUUAACUCACAAAUUUUACAUGCAAUUCAAGCUAUAACUCAAAACAACAGCCCACAAGCUGCUGAAAACAUUCCAAAUGUUUUUAUAAACCCAAAUCUGCUACAGCUUGUUAACAAUAUUAACCAUGACACUAACGACAUGCAUGAAAUGGCUGGUGAUUACUUUGAUCGGUUGAACGAGGCUUUGGCAAACCUUACCGCCGGUGAUGGUGCACUAACCCCUGCAGCAGACUCUCUUGGUUUUCUGAACGAUGCUUUAGAGCGGCUAAACCAGGAAGGGGGGAAUCUUAAUGAAUCACCACUAACGCCUACCUCUGAUAACCCACAAGGUUCUGACGAUGUGCAUGCUGCCGCUGCUAAUAGUAAUGAUGAUGA